UUACUGGGCUUAAAGGGUGCGUAGGCUGCACGGAAAGUUGGGUGUGAAAGCCCUCAGCUCAACUGAGGAAUUGCAUCCAAAACUGCCGUGCUUGAGGGAGACAGAGGUGAGCGGAACUCAAGGUGGAGCGGUGAAAUGCGUUGAUAUCUUGAGGAACACCGGUGGCGAAAGCGGCUCACUGGGUCUCUUCUGACGCUGAGGCACGAAAGCUAAGGUAGCAAACGGGAUUAGAUACCCCGGUAGUCUUAGCUGUAAACGAUGAGCACUUGAUUGGAGGGUCCUCCAUAGCCUUCCAGUCGUAGCGAAAGUGUUAAGUGCUCCGCCUGGGGAGUAUGGUCGCAAGGCUGAAACUCAAAGAAAUUGACGGGGGCUCACACAAGCGGUGGAGGAUGUGGUUUAAUUCGAUGCAACGCGAAGAACCUUACCAGGGCUUGACAUCCUGCGAACCUCUGGGAAACCGGAGGGUGCCUUCGGGAACGCAGUGACAGGUGGUGCAUGGCU
Molecule: ribosomal RNA, 501 nt
Filed under: uncultured Planctomycetaceae bacterium
Lineage: Bacteria; Pseudomonadati; Planctomycetota; Planctomycetia; Planctomycetales; Planctomycetaceae
Description: bacterial SSU rRNA
Rfam family: Bacterial small subunit ribosomal RNA
Source: RNAcentral